Molecule: long non-coding RNA, 1356 nt
Filed under: Cyanistes caeruleus (blue tit)
Lineage: Eukaryota; Metazoa; Chordata; Aves; Passeriformes; Paridae
Description: lncRNA (ENSCCEG00000001750.1)
Source: RNAcentral
UAAAUGGGAUUGUUGCAUUAAAAAAAUUUCUACUCAUAUGCUCCUAAGUUAAUUAGAAGAUAGGGUGUGCCUGUAUCUGCCUUUUAAUUCUGUUCAAUUUUUAUUAAUGAAUUAUACUAGUUAAGUUUAUUUUCUUUUGUUUGGGUGUUUUGAGAAUGACUUGGUUUUGUUUAUUCCAGCUCUUGCAUUGCUUAGCAUUGACAGUGUGCUUUGCCUGUCAGUGAGUCUCCUGCAUUUACUGAGGUCAUGCAUUAUAGCUGCAAAGUGGGUUUGCCAAGACCAGCAGCAGCCUUGUGCAGAAGAAUUUCCAUGCUCUUCUACUCUGAUAAGAAGCAAUAGAAUUAUUACCUCUUUGUAACUAAAAAUGACAUGAUUUUCAUAAAGCCACCUAUCUUAACAUCUCCACAUUGCCAUAUUGUCAUGAUCUGGAAUAUUGCCUAGAUAGGGCUUCUUUCCAAGUCCUUGACUUAUUUCCUGUGCAUAAAAAGGAACUGGGACAAAGCACCCUAUUGAUUAUGAAGCUCAGAAUAGAAAAUACUGUAUCAUAUAAGGUUAUGUUGUAAUACAGUAUGCUUGGUAAGAAUUUGAGAACAUUGCUUUAACUCCAUGGCAAGCUGUUUUGUAUAGCUCUGUUCAGAAGCAUUUAUACUCUGUGGAAUGAAUCAGUUUCUAAAUCAUAGCUGACUCUGGUUUCUGCUAUUUGUAUUUGUGAUAGGAGCAGUUGUUUAAGGGGAGAAUUUCAAAUUAUUUGAAAUACUGCUUUGAUAAACAUCAAAAUUCAAGAACUGGAGGCACAGAAGCAUAUUUAAGAGCUAAAUAGGAAACAGUUAAAAUUUAUCUGCAAAGUGAUCGCUAAAUGGAAAUCAAAAAGGUCAGCAGCAAUGCACUCUAGGGAAUCAAGAUUCACACACUAAGAGAGCUGCAGGUGCUGUGCUGGACAGUGAAACAUAAUGUUUUUAAUUAAAUCAUGGGCCUUCCUGAGGGAAUAUUGCAUUAAAAUCCAAGUGAAUCUGACAUAAUGGCAAGAUCUACAUUCCUGGUUCUUACUCAAGUCAUUACAUUAGUCUGCCAAUUAGAUCAGGAGGGAGGCAUUUCAAAUUACAGCAGCAAUUUUACAGAGUAGAUAAUUAUGUCAAGUUAUGAAUGACAGAUAUUACUGCAGCUAGUUGAUUUUUUUUUUAAUGUUUUUUAACCCCCCCACCUCUUUUCAUUUUUCCUUUUCCCUUCUUCCAUAAUGCUUUUUUUUUUUAUUUGAGGAUUCCUAGCAUCAAAUGUUAUAUAGCAUUUUGACUACCAUUUAAUUCUUGUUACUUUAUUAAAAAAUGCAAAAAAAAAUAAAAAUGCAAACUUCAGUCA